Molecule: ribosomal RNA, 292 nt
Filed under: uncultured bacterium
Lineage: Bacteria
Also listed under: 2 other names
Description: partial 16S ribosomal RNA
Source: RNAcentral
GGACUACCGGGGUUUCUAAUCCCGUUUGCUCCCCUAGCUUUCGCGCCUCAGCGUCAGAAGAGGGCCAGCACGUCGCUUUCGCCACCGGCGUUCCUUCCGAUAUCAACGCAUUUCACCGCUCCACCGGAAGUUCCACAUGCCCCUACCUCCCUCGAGUUCACCAGUAUCCAAGGCACUUUUCCGGUUGAGCCGAAAGAUUUCACCCCGGACUUGGUAAACCGCCUACGCGCCCUUUAAGCCCAGUGAAUCCGAAUAACGUUAGGACGGUUCGUCUUACCGCGGCGGCUGGCAC